This 57-nucleotide small nuclear RNA is filed under the name Ursus americanus (American black bear). Lineage: Eukaryota; Metazoa; Chordata; Mammalia; Carnivora; Ursidae. The record is from RNAcentral.
AUGAGCGCCAUAUAUACUAAAACUGGAACAGUACAAAGAAGAAUAGCAUGGCCCCUG